UAAACAAAAUUUUAGUAAAUAAAAUUGAAUCGAAAAAUGCCCGGGAUAUUUGGCAGCUGUCCGACUAAUCGCCUCGGGCCGCAUCUUCUGCAGAUAUCGCGAUGUUUAAGCUACCACGUCCCGCUCUUCCGGCCACGUAGUAUCCUGCAGGCCCGCAAGUUAAGCCAGCUAUGUUGCAGUGUGUCCUCGCGAUCGCGAUCGGGUGCCUUCAGUCAUGCCAAUAUCCGGGUACAGCCGUACUCUCAGAAGGGCACCAGUGUCUUCACCUACAACGAUAAUGUGGACAUGUCGCGUAAACGAGUCAGCUUCUCGGGAGCAUCGGAAAAAAAGAACCAGCUUCUACCAGUGGGUCUAAUCACCCCCGAGUCUGACAGUGGCAAGCAGGUGAAGAUUGUGGUUGUGCCUUUGGACCUGUCCACCAUGGAUGCUAAUACAUUGAAGGAGACCCUUGACACCAUCAAUCAACUACGCCUCUACGCAAACCACAUCGAAGAUUUCUCCAAUACCAUGAUGGAAGAGUACAACGCUCUGAGCGAUGCAAUGCAAGAGGUGGAGGAAACAACUACGGAACUAGCCGAGGUGCAGCAAGAACUAGAGCGGGCGAGGCAAGAAAUAAACAGUGAAAAUAAACAGUUCUGGGAGUCCUUAAACGCCACACCAUUGUCGGCCGAUGUGGACGCCGUGGCGGAUCGCACAAACUUCAGUCGAGCUGGCCUGGGCCUAGGACGUGGCACACCUAUGGAGGAACGGCAGGAGGCGGUCAGCAGCUGCCUUCAGGCCGGAUUGGCUCAGACGGCUCCAAUGACAGCAGAACCACAGACUGCUGCUCCCAAUUUUGACAUCAAGUCGACCUCCACCCUGCCGCAUGCUCUGGGUUCCCAAAAUCCCACUCAAUUUACUGCUUUCGGUGCCAACUUGAAUGAUCCUCUCAUGAGGGAUGACUUUAUAGAGGAGGUACGUGUGGAUGUGCCUAAAGAUAUGAGCAGUCGUCUCAAUGAGUUGGCCGUCUCCUCAAUGGAGCUGUCCUUCGAGAUGGACAUGACAAACCUUAAGGACGCAUUGGCCAAUCCGCACACCGACGAUGCGAACCUUCAAGAUCCCAUGAUUUGUAUGCACACAAAGGUGGAAAUGGAUGCACCCGGAACAGUGGAGCAUACAGUGCCGCUCAGGUUCAACGCUUUGAUUUCUGGCGUGGUGGAGCUGGACACAGAGAAGCUAAACGCUCAUCAGAUCACGGACGAAAAGAUGCCUGGGUUCAAUGACGACCUUACCUCGCUGGCAGCCAAUCUGUGCAGCACGGCUCUGGAGAAGGGCUUCUCCUCAUCCAGUUCAAAUAGCUUUAUUGGUGACCUGGAGAUGACCAAAAAUGAGGAAAUGCAGAAAGAUAUGCUCAUCGAUACGUCUCUGAUGCAUCCCGCUGCCCACGUGGGUCAUUUGGCUCAGGAAAUGAUGGCAGCCGUCGUUCCUGACGUUAAGGAGGAAGUUGAGGGCAAAGAUGGCUGCAAGCAUCCGCCAGUAAAGCCAAAGAAGAAGUGUCCCGGAAAGUGUCCUCUGAUCACUGAUCCCUGCAAAGAAGACCCCUGCAAGCGUCCAGAAAAGACCAAGAAGCCGCCAAAAAAGAAGGCUUCCAGCGCCUUAGAUGUAACCGCCCAGGCUUCCGGCGACAAAUGUGACAAGAAAAAGAAAGAUCCUUGCGCCAAAAAAAAGGGUGGCGGUAAAAAGAAAGAUCCCUGCGCCAAGGACGGAGGCAAAGGUGGCAAGGACAAGAAGGAUCCCUGUGCCAAGUUUAAGAAAGGAAAAGAUAAAAAGAAGGAUCCCUGCGCCAAGAAGAAGGAUCCUUGCGCAAAGAAAGAAAAAAAGAAGGAUUCUUGCGCAAAGAAAGAAAAAAAGAAGGAUCCUUGCGCAAAGAAAGACAAAAAGAAGGAUCCUUGCGCAAAGAAAGAAAAAAAGAAGGAUCCUUGCGCAAAGAAAGACAAAAAGAAGGAUCCUUGCGCAAAGAAAGACAAAAAGAAGGAUCCUUGCGCAAAGAAAGAAAAAAAGAAGGAUCCCUGCGCCAAGAAAGACAAAGGUAAGAAGAAGGAUCCCUGCGCCAAGAAAGGAGACAAAGGUGGUAAGAAGAAGGAUCCCUGCGCCAAGUUCAAAAAAGGAGGGAAAGAUAAAAAGAAGGAUCCCUGCGCCAAGAAAGGAGGCAAAGGUGGCAAGAAGGAGGAUCCUUGUGCCAAGUUCAAGAAGAACAAGGGCGGCAAAGAUAAGGGGUGCAAGUUCUCCACCUAUGCACCCAAUGACUUCAACAAACGCUACCUUUCCACUGUUCUUGGCCAGACUGGAUCUCCGCGAGGACCUCGUUUCCUGGUCUACUCCACUCGAGUACGCCGCAACUACCGUAUCCCCACCUCGAAGAACACUCCUUGCCAGUGUCCCAUGUGCCAGGGAAAACGUUUACUGACCGAUACUGUCGAAACUCCAGCCCGUUUUGUCAUAAAUUCCUCCCUAAUGCGUCGCCGUUUUGGAAGCUUGAGUGGCAUGGACCUCAUAAAGCGAUCCUAUUCAAAGAAGAAGAAGAAGAAGUCGCCUGGCAAGUGCGGUUCAAUGGCGCAAAAGUAUCCGAAGAGCCGCGGCAAGGACCAAAAGGAACGAACGGGCCUCCGACUGGACUGCUUUAAAAGUGAUGACGACUGCGCCAUCAAGGGAUGCUCCGGCCAUUGCGCCAAAGUCAAGUUCCCCCGAAAGAAGUGUGAGAAGAAAAAGAAGAAAAAGAGCCCCAAGAAAAGCAAAAAAGCCAAAAAAAGCAAAAAGGACAAAAAGGGGUGUGGAAAGGGCAAAAAGAAGUAGGCAUUACGCUGAUUAAAGAUGCCCGCCUGCCCCUGAAGUACUGGUACCAGUGCCAAAGAUCGUUCAGUACACGUUCCGCCUGCCAAAUCAAACCUGACCUCAAGCCUGGCCUCAAUGGGAAGGCGUAUGCCGUAAGAAUUCCGAAUCCCUACAAAAUAGACAUGGUUCCAGUUUCCAGGCCAACUCCAACCGACUUUGAUGUACUGGUUCGAACGAGUUCCGUGGCCAUAUCGGGUUCCGACAUCCAUGUCUACG
RNAcentral lists this unclassified non-coding RNA (3087 nucleotides) under Drosophila ananassae. Its description in RNAcentral is "GF17631". Lineage: Eukaryota; Metazoa; Arthropoda; Insecta; Diptera; Drosophilidae. The record is from RNAcentral.